This 200-nucleotide unclassified non-coding RNA is filed under the name fungal sp. RNAcentral's name for it is "partial internal transcribed spacer region". The stretch from base 1 to 46 matches the Rfam family "Eukaryotic small subunit ribosomal RNA", at positions 1786 to 1831 of the family's 1831-position model. The record is from RNAcentral. Lineage: Eukaryota; Fungi.
AAGUCGUAACAAGGUUUCCGUAGGUGAACCUGCGGAAGGAUCAUUACAGUGUUAGGCUUCGGCCUCAUGCACACUCCCUUGUUUAACCUCCGGUUUCUUUGGCGAUGUCAUGGACUCGUCAAACGUUAACUCUGGUAAUGUGAUACCGUCCGAGUGCGAUUGAAUUAUCAAAACUUUCAACAACGGAUCUCUUGGUUCCA